CUCCAUAUCUUCCCACAGCUUUAUUGAACUGCAAAUGGGUUUUUGUCCAUACAAUUAUAUGCAGUUCAAGAAAGCUGUGGAAAAGUAUGAACA
RNAcentral lists this microRNA precursor (93 nucleotides) under Olea europaea subsp. europaea. Lineage: Eukaryota; Viridiplantae; Streptophyta; Magnoliopsida; Lamiales; Oleaceae. The record is from RNAcentral.